Ictalurus furcatus (blue catfish) is the source of this 1810-nucleotide long non-coding RNA. RefSeq lists it as uncharacterized. The record is from RefSeq and is a predicted model, not a curated record. NCBI's taxonomy places the organism in Eukaryota, Metazoa, Chordata, Actinopteri, Siluriformes, Ictaluridae. The transcript has 3 exons.
GUCAUAGUCAUUGUCCAUGUUAUGUUUCAUUGUUAGAUUAGUGCAUUUAGUCCACACUGGUUUUCUGCUCCCAGUUCCUAAUCAUAGUUUAUGUUUCUUGUUUUGUUCUCGACCCUGUUUUCCGUGACCACGACCUUGAUUCCUGCUUUGCCCCGUUUAUCCCUGUUUGCUGAUCGCCUGACCUUUGCAUGUUUGUGGAUUACGUUUUUGGAUCACGAUUUGGAUUUACCUGCCUGUGUCUCUCUUUAAUAAGACUGUUAAACUGCAUUUGCAUCCAUCCUAUCUCCCUUACGUCUGGGGACGUGACACUUUUGACCAAAAAUGUUUGAUUUUGCUGCAGCUUCUUUUCAAAAUUUGCAAUGAAAUUUGCAGAGGUUUUUUUUUUUUUUUUGCUUUGCUUUUUUCUGGAAAAUUACUCGAAUUGGUGCAAUUGCAUGAAAUUGUUUUCAUGGUCUUUCACAGUGAUGUUUACUCAUGUUUGAUGCUCGUGGAUCAAAGGGAGCUUUGGUUGAAUGUGCAUUGUGACGAUGUCACAAGAUGCAUCUUGGCCCAAAUCUGCAGAAAAUUUAUAAAAAUGGCUGGCUCCUGUGAAUAUUGUGGAGUUUGCCUGAUUUUGUGUUAAUUUCUGCAGCUGCAAAAUACUAAAGGGACUUAUUUAGAGCUACACGUGUUAAACUACUUAGAACAUGGCAACUCUGAUGGCAGACCACGCAAUUUUUAGCUUUUCCAGGCUACAUCCCACAUCAAGGGCAGGAUGGCAAGUUAUUUGUUCUGCUAAACCCCAAUGGAGACAGUGGACAUGACCAAUGCCCAAAUUGUUUGGGGCAUCUGCAAAAGGCAGUGCAGCAUAAUGCAAAUGUGCCUCACAGGCCAUUUUAAAAACUGUUGUCUAUUCAUCACCUUCCUCUGUUGCUGUAUGGCCAUGAAGAAAACUGUAAUGAACAGCAGAUUCCAGGCCUGAGGAAGAGGAAGGAGUGCCUUUAGUUCAUUGAAAUGCAGAUUAUAGGAGAUAUAUAGAAUUAUUGCAGAGAUUUAUGGAGCCUACAUAUAGAGCUGAUUCACAUGUAGAGACAGAACCUGAUAUGCUAUCAGUGGCUGUCUCUCAUUCUUUGAAAUUCAGUCCCACUUUAGCAGAGAGUGGUGGUAGCACAACAUCAAAGCAGACUAAAGAUCAUUUUGGAAAAAGCAGGAGCACUGCACAGCAUUGGCAUUGAAUGUGCUACAGGCUAUUAGACUACUCUGGCAAAAUUCCACAGGUGGUGGCAAAUCACUGGGGAUUUUAAUGCAGAUGAGGAGACAAGUUUGUCUUUAAAAUACACUGUUCAGCUGGCACUGGUACCUCUACAGGUUUUUAGCGCACAGGCCCAGGAAGCAUUAAACAAUCACCUUUUCCAGUCUGAGAUUAGUGAGUUAAACAUGUGAAUCAAUAGAUUACUCUUAGGCACUUGUCUGUGCUGGCACAUUAUACCUGCUGAGUUGGAUUUCAAAGACCAUAACAGUGGAUGGAAAGAGCUUUGCAGGAUGCAUCAGGGACCACAGCAGCAUUGAACAACAAGGUGGUUUUGUGCCAAAACAUGGUGUGAUCAAGCAUCUAAAGCACAUUUUACCAACCCUAAAAGUCAACUGGCUACACUGACCUGUGAAAGAGUUGCUAUAAAAACAGGCAAUAUAAAUAGUACAAGAACCAAAAAUCCUGACUAGGUUUUGAGAUCUUUUUUUAAUUCAAAAUAUGGGUGUGGAAUCCACCCUAUUUUACAUCUUCAAGAUCUAACACAAAUCUAAUGCUAUGAAUAUAUACAAACAUGAUGUG